RNAcentral lists this ribosomal RNA (669 nucleotides) under uncultured bacterium. RNAcentral's name for it is "bacterial SSU rRNA". The stretch from base 1 to 561 matches the Rfam family "Bacterial small subunit ribosomal RNA", at positions 338 to 873 of the family's 1533-position model. The record is from RNAcentral.
CCUACGGGAGGCAGCAGUGGGGAAUUUUGGACAAUGGGGGAAACCCUGAUCCAGCAAUGCCGCGUGUGUGAAGAAGGCCUUCGGGUUGUAAAGCACUUUUGUCCGGAAAGAAAACCUUUGCACUAAUACUGUGAGGGGAUGACGGUACCGGAAGAAUAAGCACCGGCUAACUACGUGCCAGCAGCCGCGGUAAUACGUAGGGUGCGAGCGUUAAUCGGAAUUACUGGGCGUAAAGCGUGCGCAGGCGGUUCGUUAAGACAGAUGUGAAAUCCCCGGGCUUAACCUGGGAACUGCAUUUGUGACUGGCGAGCUAGAGUAUGGCAGAGGGGGGUAGAAUUCCACGUGUAGCAGUGAAAUGCGUAGAGAUGUGGAGGAAUACCGAUGGCGAAGGCAGCCCCCUGGGCCAAUACUGACGCUCAUGCACGAAAGCGUGGGGAGCAAACAGGAUUAGAUACCCUGGUAGUCCACGCCCUAAAACGAUAUCAACUAGUUAGUUGGGUUCGUUCUAUUAGUACUUAAGUUAAACGUAAGUACGUAACGUACGUGUAAGUUAGUACCGCCGUCGGGGUAGGGUACGGGUACGGCGAAGAAGUUAAAACGUUAAACGUUAAAGGUUAAAGUUAGUUACGGCGUGAGACGCGCCGACGGACGACCGACGAGGGGAGGAGG